GAUGCUGGGAGAUUAAACUAUAAGCUGUUACAAGGCUGCCCUGGACAGAAGGAGCCUCAUGCCUCUUGGGUGAGAAACUAUUUCACCUGUUACUGAUGUCGGUGAAGACAAGGCUUUCCUAAUUAAAGGCUUCCAGAUGUUUCUCAUUGUGAGGUGUGAUGGAGCUGGGAAGUGAUGCACCUGGUAGUGCUGCCAGCAAAAGUAAGUUGCUAACAUGAGUGUGACUGGUCAGAGCUGUGUGAUACAGGAAACAAAGAAGUUACUAGAUCCUGGCCUGUAUAUCAUAGCUGCAGCAUUAAGCAGGGCUUUUGGUGAUUUUACUACCUUUUCCAAGUAAAAAGCUCACAGAUUUGCCAGCAGCCUCAGGAUUCACUCACUUUAGGUGCUGCAUAUCUCAAAAUUAACUGCUUUCUGUGACUAAAAAGAGAUAGUAAUGGCCGUUUAAAAUACAUAACUGCUAUGGACUACUUGAGUAGGAACUUGAUAUGAAAAGCUUGUUGCUACCAGGUUGCCACACAUUUUGGGCUGAGCAAAUGCAGUAUAAUUACCUACUAUCCAACUUCUUGCUAUUUAUAUUUAGUCAACUCUUUCAGGCAGUAGCAGUCAUCUAGAAUGCUUAUGUGGUAAAGGCUAGAUCAGAGCUUUUAUGGUGAUGUGAAUGAAGAUGUGGUUGGGAGUAAGGUCAGAUGCCCCUUUAAAGGACAAACGAGAUACAACAUGAAGCUGCUCUUGGCAUGUACUGUUCGUGAUGAAUUCUAAACAAUGGGAAUCUCUCUGAAAGAGGCUGAGGAGAGCUCUCUUUUGCUGAAACAGUACCCACAUUCACACUAUCAAACCACUGCCGAAAGUGUGUUAGUACAAUUUCACUUCUUUACAGGGUGAAGCUUUUGUGGAGUUUAAAAAAAAAGAUGGAUGUGUCUGAGGUAAGUGUAGAAUACAUGGGGUUUAUAAAUUCCUGGUGUAUUGUCCUUUUGCUGAAUGCUUAAAUAUUGAUGCCUAAAAUUAGUCCUAUAAAAUACCUGAUUUGUCUUCCCUUUACUGUAUAUGGCUAUUCUGUUGGUACUACUGUAACACUCUGGAAUUAAAAUUAAAAAAACCUUGUGUUGUGGCUGUCACUUUUCAGCAGUUGUUACUACUAAUCUUUAUAUUGGGUCUGCAGAAAUUUAGCUGAAGUUCUAGAUGAUUGCUGUAGAAACUUGUUUUCAAACAAACUGGAACACUCCAAACACUUUCAAAGAUAGAAGCCAUCUUGAAAACCUAUGGGACUUGUAUUUUAGGUAUUUAAAAAUCAUGAAAUACAACACUGUUGGGAGAGACAGUAUCACAAAGCAAAGUAGUAGCUUUUUACUUUUCCCUGAUUCUUCCAAUGUUAGUAAUUCUGUAUUUCCAGUUAAGUUAGGAUUUGUAAGCUUUGUGUAUCCUAUUUAGGUAUUGUAAGUUGAACUUGUAAGAUGCCAGCUAAAAGUCAGUUUCCUUUUAGAUAAAAGUUUGGUGAACAGAAAUUCACAGAUAAACCUUGCAUAUAGUGCUGCUGUCUGUUAUUCUGAAAGUACUUCUCUCUUUCUCAGGAAGGGACUGUGCUGUCUGCAGCUCACUGGGUGAAGAGGCAACUCUGAAACCAGCAUAUGAAGAACUGAGAAGGUGGAAGAUUGCUGAUGAAUGGGUUACAUGCAUGAACAGCAUUAAAAAAGCUGAUGUGUUUUUACUUCACUGGUAAUGUUUGCCUGAUGCUGAUUGGAGACAAUAAAAAUCUGCAAACUCU
Sturnus vulgaris (Common starling) is the source of this 1762-nucleotide non-coding RNA. The record is from RefSeq and is a predicted model, not a curated record. Lineage: Eukaryota; Metazoa; Chordata; Aves; Passeriformes; Sturnidae.